UACGUAGGCAGCAAGCGUUGUUCGGAGUUACUGGGCGUAAAGAGUGCGUAGGCGGUGGCCUAAGUUCGGUGUGAAAUCUCCCGGCUUAACUGGGAGGGUGCGCCGAAGACUGGGUUGCUCUGAGUGUGGGAAAGGCAAGCGGAAUUCCUGGUGUAGCGGUGAAAUGCGUAGAUAUCAGGAGGAACACCGGCGGUGUAGACGGCUUGCUAGACCAUCACUGACGCUGAGGCACGAAAGCGUGGGUAGCAAACAGG
Molecule: ribosomal RNA, 254 nt
Filed under: uncultured Acidobacteriota bacterium
Lineage: Bacteria; Pseudomonadati; Acidobacteriota
Description: uncultured Acidobacteria bacterium partial 16S ribosomal RNA
Rfam family: Bacterial small subunit ribosomal RNA
Source: RNAcentral